CCAACGGCCCUUUUCAGGGCUACAAAAAUGCAUUUUAGUCGAAAACU
This is a non-coding RNA of Haemonchus placei, 47 nucleotides long. The record is from Rfam. NCBI's taxonomy places the organism in Eukaryota, Metazoa, Nematoda, Chromadorea, Rhabditida, Trichostrongylidae.